CAGUCGCCGCGGUAAUACGAGGGGGGCAAGCGUUGUUCGGAAUUAUUGGGCGUAAAGGGUGCGUAGGCGGCUUGACAAGUCUUGUGUGAAAUCUAUGGGCUCAACCCAUAGUCUGCACGGGAAACUGUCGGGCUUGAGAAUGGGAGAGGUGAGUGGAAUUUCCGGUGUAACGGUGAAAUGCGUAGAUAUCGGAAGGAACACCUGUGGCGAAAGCGGCUCACUGGACCAUAACUGACGCUGAUGCACGAAAGCUAGGGGAGCAAACAGGAUUAGAUACCCCGGUAGUCCCUGUCUCUUAUAU
Molecule: ribosomal RNA, 301 nt
Filed under: uncultured bacterium
Lineage: Bacteria
Description: partial 16S ribosomal RNA
Rfam family: Bacterial small subunit ribosomal RNA
Source: RNAcentral